RNAcentral lists this ribosomal RNA (745 nucleotides) under Bacillus sp. (in: firmicutes). RNAcentral describes it as "bacterial SSU rRNA". It matches the Rfam family "Bacterial small subunit ribosomal RNA", at positions 61 to 789 of the family's 1533-position model. Lineage: Bacteria; Bacillati; Bacillota; Bacilli; Caryophanales; Bacillaceae. The record is from RNAcentral.
GUCGAGCGGACAGAAGGGAGCUUGCUCCCGGAUGUUAGCGGCGGACGGGUGAGUAACACGUGGGUAACCUGCCUGUAAGACUGGGAUAACUCCGGGAAACCGGAGCUAAUACCGGAUAGUUCCUUGAACCGCAUGGUUCAAGGAUGAAAGACGGUUUCGGCUGUCACUUACAGAUGGACCCGCGGCGCAUUAGCUAGUUGGUGGGGUAAUGGCUCACCAAGGCGACGAUGCGUAGCCGACCUGAGAGGGUGAUCGGCCACACUGGGACUGAGACACGGCCCAGACUCCUACGGGAGGCAGCAGUAGGGAAUCUUCCGCAAUGGACGAAAGUCUGACGGAGCAACGCCGCGUGAGUGAUGAAGGUUUUCGGAUCGUAAAGCUCUGUUGUUAGGGAAGAACAAGUGCGAGAGUAACUGCUCGCACCUUGACGGUACCUAACCAGAAAGCCACGGCUAACUACGUGCCAGCAGCCGCGGUAAUACGUAGGUGGCAAGCGUUGUCCGGAAUUAUUGGGCGUAAAGGGCUCGCAGGCGGUUUCUUAAGUCUGAUGUGAAAGCCCCCGGCUCAACCGGGGAGGGUCAUUGGAAACUGGGAAACUUGAGUGCAGAAGAGGAGAGUGGAAUUCCACGUGUAGCGGUGAAAUGCGUAGAGAUGUGGAGGAACACCAGUGGCGAAGGCGACUCUCUGGUCUGUAACUGACGCUGAGGAGCGAAAGCGUGGGGAGCGAACAGGAUUAGAUACCCUG